AUUGAACGCUGGCGGCGUGCUUAACACAUGCAAGUCGAGCGGUAACAGGCGUAGCAAUACGUGCUGACGAGCGGCGAACGGGUGCGUAAUACAUGGGAAUCUGCCUAGUAGUGGGGAAUAACCCGGCGAAAGCCGGGCUAAUGCCGCAUACGAUCCACGGAUGAAAGCGGGGGACCUUCGGGCCUCGCGCUAUUGGAUGAGCCCAUGUCGGAUUAGCUAGNGGUGAGGUAACGGCUCACCAAGGCGACGAUCCGUAGCUGGUCUGAGAGGACGGCCAGCCACACUGGGACUGAGACACGGCCCCAGACUCCUACGGGAGGCAGCAGUGGGGAAUAUUGGGCAAUGGGCGCAAG
RNAcentral lists this ribosomal RNA (353 nucleotides) under uncultured bacterium. RNAcentral's name for it is "bacterial SSU rRNA". It matches the Rfam family "Bacterial small subunit ribosomal RNA", at positions 29 to 381 of the family's 1533-position model. The record is from RNAcentral.